CGAGACUUUGCGAGGGGCAUCGGGGUGCCAAAAAUAAGCCGCGGGCAAACCCGCGCCCAAAAAUAAGCGCCCGAAGGUCGUGGUGCCAACACCCCCCAGCGGAAAAAUGGCCAAAAAACGGGUGGGCUAUAGCCUUGGUGGGGGGCGCGGGCGAAGUUCGUCCGCCGGACUUGGAAUGGGGCGAGACUUUGUGAGGGGCCUCGGGGUGCCAAAAAUAAGCCGGGGGCAAAGCCGCGCCCAAAAAUAAGCGCCCGAAGGUCGUGGUGCCAAAACCCCCCAGCGGAAAAAUUGCCAAAAAACGGGUCGUGGGCUAUAGCCUUGGUGGGGGGCGCGGGCGAAGUUCGUACGCCGGACUCGGAAUGGGGCGAGACUUUGCGAGGGGCCUCGGGGUGCCAAAAAUAAGCCGCGGGCAAAGCCGCGCCCAAAAAUCAGGGCCCGAAGGUCGCGGUGCCAAAACUCCCCAGUGGAAAAAUGGCCAAAAAACGGGUUGUGGGCUAUAGCCUUGGUGGGGGGCGCGGGCGAAGUUCGUCCGCCGGACUCGGAAUGGGCGAGACUUUGCGAGGGGCCUCGGGGUGACAAAAAUAAGCCGCGGGCAAAGCCGCGCCCAAAAAUAAGCGCCCGAAGGCCGUGGUGCCAAAACCACCCAGCGGAAAAAUGGCCAAAAAACGGGUCGUGGGCUAUAGCCUUGGUGGGGGCCGCGGUCGAAGUUCGUCCGCCGGACUCGGAAUGGGACGAGACUUUGGCGAGGGGCCUCGGGGUGCCAAAAAUAAGCCGCGGGCAAAGCCGCGCCCAAAAAUAAGCGCCCGAAGGUCGUUGUGCCAAAACCCCCCAGCGGAAAAAUGGCCAAAAAACGGGUCGUGGGCUAUAGCCUUGGUGGGGGGCGCGGGCGAAGUUCGUCCGCCGGACUCGGAAUCGGGCGAGACUUUGUGAGGGGCCUCGGGGUGCCAAAAAUAAGCCGCGGGCAAAGCCGCGCCCAAAAAUAAGCGUCCGAAGGUCGCGGUGCCAAAACCCCCCAGCGGAAAAAUGGCCAAAAAACGGGUUGUGGGCUAUAGCCUUGGUGGGGAGCGCGGGCGAAGUUCGUCCGCCGGACUCGGAAUGGGGCGAGACUUUGCGAGGGGCCUCGGGGUGCCAAAAAUAAGCCGCGGGCAAAGCCGCGCCCAAAAAUAAGCGCCCGAAGGUCGCGGUGCCAAAACCCCCCAGCGGAAAAAUGGCCAAAAAACGGGUCGUGGGCUAUAGCCUUGGUGGGGGGCUCGGGCGAAGUUUGUCCCCCGGACUCGGAAUGGGGCGAGACUUUGCGAGGGGCCUCGGGGUGCCAAAAAUAAGCCGCGAGCAAAGCCGCGCCCAAAAAUAAGCGUCCGAAGGUCGCGGUGCCAAAACCCCCCAGCGGAAAAAUGGCCAAAAAACGGGUUGUGGGCUAUAGCCUUGGUGGGGGGCGCGGGCGAAGUUCGUCCGCCGGACUCGGAAUGGGGCGAGACUUUGCGAGGGUCCUCGGGGUGCCAAAAAUAAGCCGCGGGCAAAGCCGCGCCCAAAAAUAAGCGCCCGAAGGUCGUGGUGCCAAAACCCCCCAGCGCACAAAUGGCCAAAAAACGGGUGGGCUAUAGCCUUGGUGGGGGGCGCGGGCGAAGUUCGUCCGCCGGACUCGGAAUGGGGCGAGACUUUGCGAGGGGCCUCGGGGUGCCAAAAAUAAGCCGCGGGCAAAGCCGCGCCCGAAGUUCGUGGUGCCAAAACUCCCCAGCGGAAAAAUGGCCAAAAAACGGGUCGUGGGCUAUAGCCUUGGUGGGGGGCGCGGGCGAAGUUUGUCCCUCGGACUCGGAAUGGGGCGAGACUUUGCGAGGGUCCUCGGGGUGCCAAAAAUAAGCCGCGGGCAAAGCCGAGCCCAAAAAUAAGCGCCAGAAGGUCGUGGUGCCAAAACCCCCCAGCGGAAAAAUGGCCAAAAAACGGGUCGUGGGCUAUAGCUUUGGUGGGGGGCGCGGGCGAAGUUCGUCCGCCGGACUCGGAAUCGGGCGAGACUUUGUGAGGGGCCUCGGGGUGCCAAAAAUAAGCCGCGGGCAAAGCCGCGCCCAAAAAUAAGCGUCCGAAAGGUCGCGGUGCCAAAAACCCCCCAGCGGAAAAAUGGCCAAAAAACGGGUUGUGGGCUAUAGCCUUGGUGGGGAGCGCGGGCGAAGUUCGUCCGCCGGACUCGGAAAUGGGGCGAGACUUUGCGAAGGGCCUCGGGGUGCCAAAAAUAAGCCGCGGGCAAAGCCGAGCCCAAAAAUAAGCGCCAGAAGGUCGUGGUGCCAAAACCCCCCAGCGGAAAAAUGGCCAAAAAACGGGUCGUGGGCUAUAGCUUUGGUGGGGGGCGCGGGCGAAGUUCGUCCGCCGGACUCGGAAUCGGGCGAGACUUUGUGAGGGGCCUCGGGGUGCCAAAAAUAAGCCGUGGGCAAAGCCGCGCCCAAAAAUAAGCGCCCGAAGGUCGCGGUGCCAAAACCCCCCAGUGGAAAAAUGGCCAAAAAACGGGUUGUGGGCUAUAGCCUUGGUGGGGGGCGCGGGCGAAGUUCGUCCGCCGGACUCGGAAUGGGGCGAGACUUUGCGAGGGGCCUCGGGGUGACAAAAAUAAGCCGCGGGCAAAGCCGCGCCCAAAAAUAAGCGCCCGAAGGCCGUGGUGCCAAAACCCCCCAGCGGAAAAAUGGCCAAAAAACGGGUUUGUGGGCUAUAGCUUUGGUGGGGGGCGCGGGCGAAGUUCGUCCGCCGGACUCGGAAUGGGGCGAGACUUUGCGAGGGGCCUCGGGGUGACAAAAAUAAGCCGCGGGCAAAGCCGCGCCCAAAAAUAAGCGCCCGAAGGCCGUGGUGCCAAAACCCCCCAGCGGAAAAAAGGCCAAAAAACGGGUCGUGGGCUAUAGCCUUUGUGGGGGGCGCGGGCGAAGUUCGUCCGCCGGACUCGGAAUGGGGCGAGACUUUGUGAGGGGCCUCGGGGUGCCAAAAAUAAGCCGCGGGCAAAGCCGCGCCCAAAAAUAAGCGCCCGAAGGUCGCGGUGCCAAAACCCCCCAGUGGAAAAAUGGCCAAAAAACGGGUUGUGGGCUAUAGCCUUGGUGGGGGGCGCGGGCGAAGUUCGUCCGCCGGACUCGGAAUAGGGCGAGACUUUGCGAGGGGCCUCGGGGUGCCAAAAAUAAGCCGCGGCCAAAGCCGAGCCCAAAAAUAAGCGCCAGAAGGUCGUGGUGCCGAAACCCCCCAGCGGAAAAAUGGCCAAAAAACGGGUCGUGGGCUAUAGCUUUGGUGGGGGGCGCGGGCGAAGUUCGUCCGCCGGACUCGGAAUGGGGCGAGACUUUGUGAGGGGCCUCGGGGUGCCAAAAAUAAGCCGCGGGCAAAGCCGCGCCCAAAAAUAAGCGCCCGAAGGUCGCGGUGCCAAAACCCCCCAGUGGAAAAAUGGCGAAAAAACGGGUUGUGGACUAUAGCCUUGGUGGGGGGCGCGGGCGAAGUUCGUCCGCCGGACUCGGAAUGGGGCGAGACUUUGCGAGGGGCCUCGGGGUGACAAAAAUAAGCCGCGGGCAAAGCCGCUCCCAAAAAUAAGCGCCCGAAGGCCGUGGUGCCAAAACCCCCCAGCAGAAAAAAGGCCAAAAAACGGGUCGUGGGCUAUAGCCUUGGUGGGGGGCGCGGGCGAAGUUCGUCCGCCGGACUCAGAAUGGGGCGAGACUUUGCGAGGGGCCUCGGGGUGCCAAAAAUAAGCCGCGGGCAAAGCCGCGCCAAAAAAUAAGCGCCCGAAGGUCGUGGUGCCAAAACCCCCCAGCGGAAAAAUGGCCAAAAAACGGGUGGGCUAUAGCCUUGGUGGGGGGCGCGGGCGAAGUUCGUCCGCCGGACUCGGAAUGGGGCGAGACUUUGCGAGGGGCCUCGGGGUGCCAAAAAUAAGCUGCGGGCAAAGCCGCGCCCAAAAAUAAGCGCCCGAAGGUCGUGGUGCCAAAACACCCCAGCGGAAAAAUGGCCAAAAAACGGGUCGUGGGCUAUAGCCUUGGUGGGGGGCGCGGGCGAAGUUCGUCCGCCGGACUCGGAAUGGGGCGAGACUUUGCGAGGGGCCUCGGGGUGCCAAAAAUAAGCCGCGGGCAAGGCCGCGCCCAAAAAUAAGCGCCCGAAGGUCGUGGUGCCAAAACACCCCAGCGGAAAAAUGGCCAAAAAACGUGUCGUGGGCUAUAGCCUUGGUGGGGGGCGCGGGCGAAGUUCGUCCACCGGACUCGGAAUGGGGCGAGACUUAGCGAGGGGCCUCGGGGUGCCAAAAAUAAGCCGCGGGCAAAGCCGCGCCCAAAAAUAAGCGCCCGAAGGUAGUGGUGCCAAAACCCCCCAGCGGAAAAAUGGCCAAAAAACGGGUCGUGGGCUAUAGCCUUGGUGGGGGGCGCGGGCGAAGUUUGUACGCCGGACUCGGAAUGGGGCGAGAAUUUGCGAGGGUCCUCGGGGUGCCAAAAAUAAGUCGCGGGCAAACCCGCGCCCGAAGGUCGUGGUGCCAACACCCCCCAGCGGAAAAAUGGCCAAAAAACGGGUGGGCUAUAGCCUUGGUGGGGGGCGCGGGCGAAGUUUGUCCGCCGGACUCGGAAUGGGGCGAGACUUUGUGAGGGGCCUC
This 4585-nucleotide long non-coding RNA is filed under the name Citrus x clementina. RNAcentral describes it as "Citrus clementina (C. clementina) long non-coding RNA (CCLE_LNC006314)". Lineage: Eukaryota; Viridiplantae; Streptophyta; Magnoliopsida; Sapindales; Rutaceae. The record is from RNAcentral.